Molecule: unclassified non-coding RNA, 1012 nt
Filed under: Hevea brasiliensis (rubber tree)
Lineage: Eukaryota; Viridiplantae; Streptophyta; Magnoliopsida; Malpighiales; Euphorbiaceae
Source: RNAcentral
AAAUUUUCAGAACCCUUCCAAUUCCAUGAGUCAAAAUUUAAACAUGACUUGGUAAUACUUGAUUAUUUGUAAACCAGAACAAGGGCAAUCCUCACCAUAAUACCCAUGUGAUCCGAUCGGCUAAUAGAUAUCACAUUUGAUAAAUAAUGCUUACAAAUUGGAUAAUUUGUCACUACUGUAACAUCACAUUAAAUUACUGCACCAUAACAUCCAACAAAUCCUCUGGGCCAUCAGUAUCAUCGCAGCAUUACAAUCUUGUAAAACAUGUUAAAAUUUGAUUAGCCUGAUAUUACCCAAACCUGGGGCUUCAAUCACCUUUGAAGCGGGCCUGUGGUAUAACUCCAACACAGGUCAACUCCAUGAGCAUCCAUAUUUCACAACAUAUCCUUCGAUAGCAUCUGCAUUUGAACUUUGAAGUACCCACCAACAUAUUAUUGUUUGUUGUAAAACGUUAAGCUCUCAGAUCUCAUAGCUCCAAGAUGCACAUGAUUGGUCAAGCCAUUGUUUUUCAUAUGGAACCUCCUCCUCUCUCAAAUGAAGGAAACAACCACCAUCACAACAACCAACACCACCACCACCACCAAUAAUAAUAAUAAUAAUAAUUUUUAAGAGAGAUGGACCAACUUUAUUGAAUUGGAAUUUUAGGGAUAAUUAAACAUUCUAAAUUGAAUUUUCAACUCCAUUUGCUAACCCAUCCCAUGCCUGCAGGUGUUUACCUCAAUCCACCAUUUUGAAUGUUGGUUUUGUUCAAAAUUUUAACACUUCAACAGAAUUUACCCUGACUUGAGAAAAACCUUGCAUGGAAAAAAAUUUUUUUUUUCUUUCACCAUGAAUUGGAAAGAAAGCUCGAUUCCCUGCAAAGAAGACGUCUUUAUUGAUCUUACUUCAUGUCUGAACGGAUCAUGAUAUGAAAAUCAUCAAACACAAUUUUGUAGAUUGUACACAUUGUUUUUUUUUAUAUAGCAACUGAAAACUAGAAAUUCUAUGUGAGAGGAGAUGUCAAUUUGAAGAU